Molecule: ribosomal RNA, 301 nt
Filed under: uncultured bacterium
Lineage: Bacteria
Description: partial 16S ribosomal RNA
Rfam family: Bacterial small subunit ribosomal RNA
Source: RNAcentral
CAGCAGCCGCGGGAAUACGGAGGGAGCUAGCGUUGUUCUGAAUUACUGGGCGUAAAGCGCGCGUAGGCGGUUACUCAAGUCAGAGGUGAAAGCCCGGGGCUCAACCCCGGAACUGCCUUUGAAACUAGGUGACUAGAAUCUUGGAGAGGUCAGUGGAAUUCCGAGUGUAGAGGUGAAAUUCGUAGAUAUUCGGAAGAACACCAGUGGCGAAGGCGACUGACUGGACAAGUAUUGACGCUGAGGUGCGAAAGCGUGGGGAGCAAACAGGAUUAGAUACCUUAGUAGUCCCUGUCUCUUAUAC